UACGUAGGGUGCGAGCGUUAAUCGGAAUUACUGGGCGUAAAGCGUGCGCAGGCGGUUUUGUAAGCCAGAUGUGAAAUCCCCGGGCUUAACCUGGGAAUGGCAUUUGGGACUGCAAGGCUGGAGUUUGGCAGAGGAGACUGGAAUUCCUGGUGUAGCAGUGAAAUGCGUAGAUAUCAGGAGGAACACCUGAGGUGAAGACGGGUUGCUGGGCUGACACUGACGCUGAGUGCGCGAAAGCCAGGGGAGCAAACGGG
RNAcentral lists this ribosomal RNA (254 nucleotides) under uncultured bacterium. RNAcentral's name for it is "partial 16S ribosomal RNA". It matches the Rfam family "Bacterial small subunit ribosomal RNA", at positions 524 to 776 of the family's 1533-position model. The record is from RNAcentral.